UUGACUUAUUCAGUACAGAAGACUCAGAGAGGCCAUACAAUUCAAGGGUUUGGUUUACCUCCGGCGGGCGCCCACGGGGGGCCGGGGGGCGCCGGGCACGGGGCCCGGGCCGCCCGCCGAAGCAACGGGAUAGGUAACGUUCACAAUGGUUUGGGAGUUUUGCAACUCUGUAAUGAUCCUUCCGCAGGUUCACCUACGGAAA
This 202-nucleotide unclassified non-coding RNA is filed under the name uncultured fungus. RNAcentral describes it as "sequence contains ITS1". The record is from RNAcentral. Lineage: Eukaryota; Fungi.